Long non-coding RNA from Daphnia pulex (common water flea), 1183 nucleotides. RefSeq lists it as uncharacterized. The transcript has 2 exons. The record is from RefSeq and is a predicted model, not a curated record. NCBI's taxonomy places the organism in Eukaryota, Metazoa, Arthropoda, Branchiopoda, Diplostraca, Daphniidae.
UAGAGAGGGAGAAUAGGGGAGAGAAUAGAGAGUCGGCUGCCUGCUACUGGUAUAUGAGGAAGCAAAUGGAGGAGAUUGCAUAAAAGUUCGGGUGACCACUUCCUUCUCAAUAGCUGUGGCUGGGAUUUUUAUUGUGGUCACCAGUGGCCUCCUAAGGCCUCCUAAAUCAAGUGUUGCAGUGAGUAAGGAAGCUUUCGCUGCCUAACAAAAAUAAUACGUACAUGGUAGUUGUUAAAGUUGUGGAUGAAAAUCCAAGGUUCAUUUUGCGCCCGGGGCCCGGGGUCCGGGGUUCCACACCUUAAGUACCUACGAGAAGAUUGGAAACGCGCGAAAGAAGUUUAUGUAAAAAGCCGAUUUUCGCCGCGUUCUAAAAAAUUGGGUUUUUGACGGAGGGCAUUGAAUUUUUUGGAAGUAACCAUAAUGGUUGGCUACUUUGCCGCUAUCUAAUAAUAGGGAAAAAUAACCCUUCGAAGACGCCAAAAAGUGCAAAAUAAAGAGCUUCGUUAGCUUUAUUACAUUUGUCAUUUUCAAAUUUUUUCAGUUUCAUUUAAUAUAAUGAAUUUCGAAUUGAAAAUGAGAUUUGUCAUUUUUGCCCAUUUCUUCCCUUCUAUCCCACCCCGCGGUUUUGUCGCGUUUUCCCCUUUGUUUCAUUUUUGGAGGUGGGAAAUUUUCCUUUGCUCUAGUAGGCGAUAUUUACCCUUCCUAACUAUUUCCACAGCUGAUUCGACGUAUUACAGAAAUAUUUUGAAAGAGAUUGACAUGAGGGUAAAUAUCUGUUGUGUUAAACUCUUAAACAAAUUGUUGCAAAAUCGUACCUAGAUUUUAAGACAAAAUUGAAGGUUAAAUUCCAAUCAGCUGUUUUGGUUUGCUUGACUGCUGACGUCUGGGACUCGCUUAAACGAAGCUUUUUGGGUAUUACGCCUCAUUGGCUAGAACUAAGACGAGUCUGUCGACCAGAAAAUCAGCUGGGAUAAAGUGUAAACGUUAUGAAGGUGACAUUCAUUAUUAUUUCACUUUCCUUUAAAAUGAUUUAUAGUUAUACAUCUUGAUAAUUGCAAUAGGACAUUAUACGUAUGAUAGAAUAGCUGAAAUGAUAGAUGGUGUUGUGACAGAUUUCAUCUUGCUACGUCGAGUGCUAAAGCCAAUUCUAUAGUAACAGAUAACGGAUGAAACUUUGUUAAAG